Lolium rigidum is the source of this 417-nucleotide long non-coding RNA. RefSeq lists it as uncharacterized. The record is from RefSeq and is a predicted model, not a curated record. Lineage: Eukaryota; Viridiplantae; Streptophyta; Magnoliopsida; Poales; Poaceae. The transcript is spliced from 2 exons.
GAAAAGGGACCCGACAUCACAUGGCGAGUUUUUUUGAUGUAGGUAUAAUAAAGAAGAAAGGAGAAGAAGGCACUUACAUGCAUGGAUGGCAGAAAGAUCAAGAGUUUGUUGAUGUACAGAUGCCAAAUCGAAGCGUCUACUGUGGUUAUUGUUGGCCUUCAGCCUGUUGUUGUCUUGAUAAAAUAGCAACCAGCCAACCACAGAGUUGAGAUCAAUUACUGAAGGCUAAAGAAUUGCAAGCCAACAAGUUCAGCAUAGUUCAAACUUGUAAAGUUCAGUAAUCAAACCUGCAAGUCCAUGUGUCAGAAAUAUAUAUGGCAUGGAGUUUUGAAUAUAUAGCAGGAAGAUGAUUCUGCUAAGAACAACACAUUAAUUACUAUAUUUGUUAUGUCGGUUUAAAAUACCGAAGAUUGUCCA